GAUGAGCGCUGGCGGCGUGCCUAAUACAUGCAAGUCGAGCGAACAGACGAGGCGCUUGCUCCUCUGACGUUAGCGGCGGGCGGGUGAGUAACACGUGGAUAACCUCCCUAUAAUACUGGUAUAACUUCGGGAAACCGGAGCUAAUCCCGGAUAAUCUAUUGAACCGCAUGGUUCAAUAGUGAAAGACGGUUUUGCUGUCACUUAUAGAUGGAUCCGCGCCGCAUUAGCUAGUUGGUAAGGUAACGGCUUACCAAGGCAACGAUGCGUAGCCGACCUGAGAGGGUGAUCGGCCACACUGGAACUGAGACGCGGUCCAGACUCCUACGGGAGGCAGCAGUAGGGAAUCUUCCGCAAUGGGCGAAAGCCUGACGGAGCAACGCCGCGUGAGUGAUGAAGGUCUUCGGAUCGUAAAACUCUGUUAUUAGGGAAGAACAAAUGUGUAAGUAACUAUGCACGUCUUGACGGUACCUAAUCAGAAAGCCACGGCUAACUACGUG
RNAcentral lists this ribosomal RNA (497 nucleotides) under uncultured bacterium. Its description in RNAcentral is "partial 16S ribosomal RNA". It matches the Rfam family "Bacterial small subunit ribosomal RNA", at positions 28 to 507 of the family's 1533-position model. The record is from RNAcentral.